GAGUUUGAUCAUGGCUCAGAACGUACGCUGGCGGCACGCCUAACACAUGCAAGUCGAACGAAGUAGCAAUACUUAGUGGCAGACGGGUGAGUAACAUGUAGGUAUCUGCCCUUUGGCCUGGAAUAACACGAGGAAACUUGUGCUAAUACUGGAUAAGUCUUUACGGAGAAAGCUUUAUGCACCAUUGGAUGAGCCUGCACUUGAUUAGUUUGUUGGUAGGGUAAUGGCCUACCAAGACUGUGAUCAAUAGCUGAUUUGAGAGGAUGAUCAGCCACAUUGGGACUGAGACACGGCCCAAACUCCUACGGGAGGCAGCAGUGGGGAAUCUUGCACAAUGGAGGAAACUCUGAUGCAGCGAUGCCGCGUGAGUGAAGAAGGCCUUUGGGUUGUAAAGCUCUUUCGUCGGGGAAGAAAAUGACUGUACCCGAAUAAGAAGGUCCGGCUAACUUCGUGCCAGCAGCCGCGGUAAUACGAAGGGACCUAGCGUAGUUCGGAAUUACUGGGCUUAAAGAGUUCGUAGGUGGUUGAAAAAGUUAGUGGUGAAAUCCCAGAGCUUAACUCUGGAACUGCCAUUAAAACUUUUCAGCUAGAGUAUGAUAGAGGAAAGCAGAAUUUCUAGUGUAGAGGUGAAAUUCGUAGAUAUUAGAAAGAAUACCAAUUGCGAAGGCAGCUUUCUGGAUCAUUACUGACACUGAGGAACGAAAGCAUGGGUAGCGAAGAGGAUUAGAUACCCUCGUAGUCCAUGCCGUAAACGAUGUGUGUUAGACGUUGGAAAUUUAUUUUCAGUGUCGCAGCGAAAGCGAUAAACACACCGCCUGGGGAGUACGACCGCAAGGUUAAAACUCAAAUGAAUUGACGGGGACCCGCACAAGUAGUGGAGCAUGUGGUUUAAUUCGAAGAUACGCGCAGAACCUUACCAACACUUGACAUGUUCGUCGCGACUUUAAGAGAUUAAAGUUUUCGGUUCGGCCGGACGAAACACAGGUGCUGCAUGGCUGUCGUCAGCUCGUGUCGUGAGAUGUUGGGUUAAGUCCCGCAACGAGCGCAACCCUCACUUUUAGUUGCCAUCAUUAAGUUGGGCACUCUGAAAGAACUGCCAGUGAUAAGCUGGAGGAAGGUGGGGAUGACGUCAAGUCCUCAUGGCCCUUACGUGUUGGGCUACACACGUGCUACAAUGGUAUCUACAACAGGAAGCAAGACGGCGACGUUAAGCAAAUCCUUAAAAGAUACCUCAGUUCGGAUUGCACUCUGCAACUCGAGUGCAUGAAGCUGGAAUUACUAGUAAUCGUGGAUCAGCGUGCCACGGUGAAUGCGU
This 1315-nucleotide ribosomal RNA is filed under the name unidentified marine bacterioplankton. RNAcentral's name for it is "bacterial SSU rRNA". It matches the Rfam family "Bacterial small subunit ribosomal RNA", at positions 9 to 1371 of the family's 1533-position model. The record is from RNAcentral.